RNAcentral lists this unclassified non-coding RNA (250 nucleotides) under plant metagenome. Its description in RNAcentral is "partial contains small subunit ribosomal RNA, internal transcribed spacer 1, and 5.8S ribosomal RNA". The record is from RNAcentral.
GUAGGUGAACCUGCGGAAGGAUCAUUCAUAAUAAGUGUUUUAUGGCACUUUUUAAAUCCAUAUCCACCUUGUGUGCAAUGUCAGUUGUUCUCUUUUUUGAGAAUGACCAAACAUCAACUUAUUCUUUAACUCUUUGUCUGAAAAAUAUUAUGAAUAAAAUAAUUCAAAAUACAACUUUCAACAACGGAUCUCUUGGCUCUCGCAUCGAUGAAGAACGCAGCAUCUGACUGACUGGAAGCUUGUCUAUCUC